UCUGGCUCGUACUCUUCAAUUUUUUUCCCUCCCACACACUCCAAAUUUUUUCUGAGGAACCCUAACCCUCAUCUAUUCCCUCUCUUCCUCUCCAUCUCGUUCUCACUCCAAGUAGCUAGUCCUCUUCUCCCUCUCGCUUCGCCGUUCGCCGCCACGCCGUCUCCGUUCCGCCACGCUCAGUUCCAUUCAAGCUCUCGGAGCAAUAAUAUCACCAAAAGCUACUCACAAAGUUUCUCCAAACAUUAGAGGAUCUCAUUUAAGCACAGAAACAUGACAACUAUUUCAACAGUUUGUACACUUGGAGCUUCUUGUUAGGGGGUCUCCCUCAGAGAUUCGCAUUCGAGAUUGCUCGUGGUUGUCAGAGGAGGAAUUCACAAAAUGUUUUCAAUCUUGUGACCUUGGCCAUUUGGAGGUUAUACAUUUGCUUGUGGAAUAGGUGCUACAACUUGACCAGUGUGGACGAUGUAUAUCUGAUUAUGCAUUACCUGCUACUUUGGCAAAAUCACCAAGUGUCAGCAUUAACCUGAUAUACUAUUUGGAUUUGAAGAGCCAAACUGGUUUCCACUGACUUAGAGGACCAAUCUGAUUCUAAAUAUCCAGUACUUCUCUGGUUGUCAAUUUGGCUUCUACGAUGAGUAUCAACUAAAUGAAAUUAAAGAAGAGUGGGCUACUUAUGUGUUAAAGAAUUUUGCCUAGUGUGGACUGCCAAGCUUUGGUGAUUUCAAGUAGUGGCCGGGGGUUUGUCAAGCUGCUGUUUUUUCAUCAAUAAAAGAGGCUGAUGAUGAGUCAACCUCAUUGUUGUUUGUUGUUGUUCCAGCUGCAUGUUUUGUCAUUCUUUUAACUGAUGUAGCUUAUUUGGUUUAAGUUCUUGAGAGAGUGUGUUCUCAACAACAAUUAGUAUUUUUAGACAAAUUUGUUAAGUGACAUGGGUUUAAUAUUGUUUUGUUGUUGGCACAUUUGAGUAAUUAUCUUCUAGAAUAUGUUAAUGUUAUUUUGAA
Long non-coding RNA from Lotus japonicus, 998 nucleotides. RefSeq lists it as uncharacterized. The record is from RefSeq and is a predicted model, not a curated record. NCBI's taxonomy places the organism in Eukaryota, Viridiplantae, Streptophyta, Magnoliopsida, Fabales, Fabaceae. The transcript has 5 exons.